CCUACGGGUGGCAGCAGUGGGGAAUAUUGCACAAUGGGGGAAAGCCUGAUGCAGCGAAGCCGCGUGAGGGAAGAAGUAAUUCGUUAUGGAAAGCUCUAUCAGCAGGGAAGAAAAUGACGGUACCUGAGUAAGAAGCCCCGGCUAACUACGUGCCAGCAGCCGCGGUAAUACGUAGGGGGCGAGCGUUAUCCGGAUUCACUGGGUGUAAAGGGAGCGUAGACGGCCAAGCAAGCCAGGGGUGAAAGCGCGGGGCCCAACCCCGGGACUGCCCUUGAAACUGCAUGGCUGGAGUGCGGGAGGGGCAGGCGGAAUUCCUGGUGUAGCGGUGAAAUGCGUAGAUAUCAGGAGGAACACCGGCGGCGAAGGCGGCCUGAUGGACCGCGACUGACGUUGAGGCUCGAAAGCGUGGGGAGCGAACAGGAUUAGAUACCCCAGUAGUC
This 440-nucleotide ribosomal RNA is filed under the name uncultured bacterium. Its description in RNAcentral is "partial 16S ribosomal RNA". It matches the Rfam family "Bacterial small subunit ribosomal RNA", at positions 338 to 795 of the family's 1533-position model. The record is from RNAcentral.